GGGUGAUUAGCUCAGCUGGGAGAGCAUCUGCCUUACAAGCAGAGGGUCGGCGGUUCGAUCCCGUCAUCACCUC
Molecule: transfer RNA, 73 nt
Filed under: Pseudomonas aeruginosa
Lineage: Bacteria; Pseudomonadati; Pseudomonadota; Gammaproteobacteria; Pseudomonadales; Pseudomonadaceae
Description: tRNA-Val
Rfam family: tRNA
About the family: Transfer RNA (tRNA) molecules are approximately 80 nucleotides in length. Their secondary structure includes four short double-helical elements and three loops (D, anti-codon, and T loops).
Source: RNAcentral